RNAcentral lists this long non-coding RNA (1266 nucleotides) under Anser cygnoides (Swan goose). RNAcentral's name for it is "lncRNA (ENSACDG00005007158.1)". The record is from RNAcentral. Lineage: Eukaryota; Metazoa; Chordata; Aves; Anseriformes; Anatidae.
AUCAAGACUGAUAGUGAUUUUCCACUCUAUCUAGUAGGUCAGAUGAUCUUAUAGUGCAGUGUUAGAGAGAAAGAAGAUGGAAAUAUUUUCAUUUUCUCUCAGAGUCAAUAUUUCCCUAGCUGGAAAUUAAUCACUGGAAAAGAAGUUUAAGGGGAGUCUGUCAAGGUUUAUUUAGGCUUCAAAAUAACUUUUUAAAACACUGUCUUUUGUUGUUGUUGCAGGUUUAGAGGUCAGAGUUUCCCUCCACAGCAUUCUUCUCUUGACAAAUGAUCUUUGCAGCAGCUAGCCAAGUUGUUUUUUUUUUUUUAAUUUUUAUUUUAAAUUGACUUCUUGUGUGUUCUGCCAUAAGCAAAAUGUUGCAGAUACAGUGGAAAAGGUAGAACAUCCACAGUCAUCUCUAUUUAUGUAUCAUGAAUCAGACAAGAUGUCUUUCUUUUAUCUAAUUAUUUUUCUCUUAAAGGAUUGCAGCAGUGAAUCUUCAUUUAGCAACCUGCCACCUGGUUAUAAAGCAACUAGAUUUUGAAUUUAGGUAAUGCCUUCUGAAGUUACUGUUAUUAACACCUGGAAGCCUACAGUAGAAUGCCUGGCUUAAUGGCAGAUGGCUAGUACCUGUGGAUGUACAGAACAUAGUCUGGCAUCUGGCAACCAGUUAUAAAUUGCAAGCCAAGCCUGAAAGAAUAUAUCUGAAGAAAGUGUGAGAAGAACUUAUCUAUCUGUGAAAUAGCGUUAAUGUCUUUUCAGUAGACCCUUUGCCCCUUCCAGACACAGAAAUCCAAGAGGAAAAACACAUACCAAACCAAUCAUCUAUCCCCAUCAGCAGCAUCUAACCUGGGUUACUCAAAUUUUGAAGUCUAUUAUACAGCUGUUUUUAGAAGCACAUGGAUCUGAAAGGAGUACCCAAAGAAAGCAUCAAAAAGAGCAUUUUCCUUCUAUAACUUCAUUCUUGAAGAUGAAUCAGAUUCCGAUUCUGCCCCACACACCAGAACCAGUGAAAAAAGAAGGGAAGGAGCAGCAUUUCAACUGCCAAGCACUGGUAUUUUCAUUCCUCUGCCAAGAAAUUCCCCUAAUGAGGAGCACAGAAAUUAAAGACAGCUCUGAAGAGCUAAAAAAUAGGUGAAUUCACUUUAAAUAUUUGAUGAAGGUUGUGGUUGACUGGGACUUCUCUCUCCAGUCUAGUUCAUCCUGCUCAGGAAAAACGUGUUUGUUGUGCUCCCUCUGACUACCACUACCAAGAAAGUGAAAAUAAAAAAGGCAACAGCAUCCUCA